AUCCUCCUAAAUAAGUUUAGGAACCAAAUCAGCCUUUAUUUCAAUAUUUAUCAAGAACAAUGAAAGAAGUUGAACUAUAAUUUAGAAAUCACCAAGUUAAAAAACUACAUAGACAAUCAACAAAAGUGACAAUGGAAAUAGAUAAUUUUCGUAACACUUGAAUAAAACGGACAAGGAAAAUAGACAAGUUUUCAUUAAAAGUAUCAAAAUAUUAAUGAAGAGAUCAAAAUAUUGAUAGAAUAGUAAAAUUAAAAAUCUCAUAAUUAAAUGAAAACAAAAAUUGUUAAUUUGAAUUUUUCUCUAAACUUAACUUGCAAAAUUAGUACAGUGGAAUAGCUUUUAAAUGGUUGAAAAAACAUAAAAACUAUUAUUUCAAUAAUGGGAUUAACUAAAUAACAGAACUCUAAAGAUGGUUAUUAUUUAUUUUUUUUGAAAAGGUUUAAUGUUCUCAGCAGAAAAGCAAUUGAAGAAUCCAUUAAGGAAAAUUUUGAAAUGACUGAAGAUAUAAAAGACAAGUCACUUCUUACACUACAUAAAAAAAAAAAAAAAAAGAAAACGCUAAUGAUAUAGUUGCUUCUUCUCAAAAAAGUUAAAAAAAGACAAGUCGCCUCUUACCCUACAUAAAAAAAAACGCCAAUGAUAUAGUUCGAAGCAAAAUAGGUGUAACGUACUACGAAGGUUAUAAAUGUAAAAGCACGGGUGCCAGCAGAACUUUAGUUCACUGCUGACCUUGAUUUAAGCAUAUUGAAACAGUCAAAGAUUCACAUUUUUCAAGCUGAAGAUUGAACAUCACAAAAGAGCUCAAAAUCAGAAGCUCAUGAGUCCCCCCCCCAAAGCCCGCCAGCCAGCCACUCACACACAAGAAAGGAAGCAAAUAUAUUGGUAUAAGGGUUGCUGCCAACAUGAGAAACAAAGAUCAAAAUUAUGCUAAACUUUGUUCACAUACCAACAACAUUGCCCGAUUGUAAAACUAAAGCCGACUUUGAUUUAAGCAUAUAAAGGGAGGCCCAGAUUAUCCUUUUUCAAGCAGAAGAUUGAACAUCAGAAAAGAGCCCAAAAUAAUAAGCUCACUAGUCACCCACCAAAAGUUCACAAGACAGCCACUUACACACACAAGAAAGAAAACAAAUAUAUGGGUACAAAGGCUGUGGCCAACAUGAGAAACAAGGAUCAAAAUUAUGCAAAACUCUAUUCACAUACCAACAACGUUCACCGAAUGUAAAACUAAAGUCAACCAUGAUUCAAGCAUAUAAAAGGAGGCUCAUAUUCACCUUUAUCAAGCAGAAGAUUGAACAUCAAAAAAAGAGCUCAAAAUCAGAAGCUCAAGAGUCACCCACACAAAGCAAACUAAAGCCCACCUUGAUUUAAGCAUAAAAAAGGAGGCUCACAUUCGCUUUUCAAGCAGAAGAUUGAAUAUCACAAAAUAGCUCAAAAUCAGAAGUUCACGAGUCACCCAACCAAAGUAAACUAAAGCCGACCUUGAUUUAAGCAUAAAAAAGAAGGCUCAGGUUUGCCUUUUUCAAGCAAAAGAUUGAACAUCACAAAAGAACUCAAAAUUAGAAGCUCACGAGUCACCCACCCAAAAUUCGCUAGACAGCCAUUCACACACACAAGAAAGAAAGCAGCAGAUAUAUUCAUACGAGGGCAGUUGGCAAAAUGAGAAAAAUGCGAAACUUCGUUCAUAUACCAAAAACAUUUACCCAAUGUAAAACUAAAGCUGACCUUGAUUUAAGCAUAGAAAAGGAGGCUCAGAUUCGCAUAUUUCAAGCAGAAGAUUGAUUAUCACAAAAGAGGUCAAAAUUAGAAGCUCAUGAGUCACCCAUCCAAAGUUCGCCAGACAGCCACUCAAACACACAAGAAAGAAAGCAGAUAUAUUGGUAUAAGGGCUGAUGCCAACAUGAGAAACAAUCAUCAAAAUUAUGCCAAACUUUGUUCACAUACCAAAAACGUUCACCGAAUGUAAAACUAAAGUCGAUCUUGAUUUAAGCAUAUAAAAUGAGGCUUACAUUCGCCUUUUCAAGCAGAAGAUUGAACAUUACAAAAGAGCUAAAAAUCAGAAGCUCAAGAGUCACCCACCCAAAGUUCGCAGACACAAGAAAGAAAGCAUAUAUAUUGGUAUAAGGGCUGUUGCCAACAUGAGAAACAGGGACCGAAAUUAUGCAAAACUUUAUUCACAUACCAACAACGUUCACCGAAUGUAAAACUAAAGCCGACCUUGAUUUAAGCCUAUAAAAUGAGGCUUAGAUUCGCCUUUUUCAAGCAGAAGAUUGAACAUCACAAAAGAGCUCCAAAUCAAAAGCUUGUGAGUAACCCAUCAGAAGCUCACGAGUCAACCACCAAAAGGUUGCAAGACAGCCAUUCACAAACAAGAAAAAAAACUGAUAUAUUGGUACAAGGGCUGUGGCCAACAUGAGAAACAAGGAUCAAAAUCACGCAAAACUUUAUUCACAUACCAACAACGUUCAUUAGAAGUAAAACCAAAGCCGACCUUGAUUUAAGUAUACAAAACGGGCUCCAAUUCGCAUUUUUCGAGCAGAAGAUUGAACAUCACAAAAGAGCUCAAAACCAUAAGCUCACGAGUAAACCACCCAUAGUACGCAAAUCAGCCAUUCACACACACAAGAAAGAAAGCAAAAGAUUGAACAUCACAAAAGAGCUCAAAAUCAGAAGCUCAUGAGUAACCCACCCAAAGUACGCAAGUCACACACAAGAAAGAAAGCAGAUGCAUCGGUAUAAUGGCUGUGGCCAACAUGAGAAACAAGGAUCAAAAUUAUGCCCAACUUUACUGUCAUACCAACAACAUUAACCGAAUGUAAAACUAAGGCUGACCAUGAUUUAAACAUAUUAAAAGAGGCUCAGAUUCGCCAUGUUCAAGCAGAAGAUUGAACAUAACAAAAGAGCUCAAAAUCAGAAGCUCACAACUCACCCAACCAAAGUUCACCAGAGCUAACCUUGAUUUUAGCAUAUUGAAAGAGUCAAAGAUUCACAUUUUUCAAGCAGAAGAAUGAAAUCACAAAAGAGCUCAAAAUUAGAAGCUCACAAGUCACCCAUCCAAAGUUCGCCAGACAGCCACUCAAACACACAAGAAAGAAAGCAAAUAUAUUGGUAUAAGGGUUGUUGCCAACAUGAGAAACGAGGAUCCAUAUUAUGCCAAAUUUUGUUCACGUACCAACAACAUUCACUGAAUGUAAACCUAAAGCCGACAUUGAUUUAAGCAUACCAAAGGAGGCUCACAUUUGCAUUUUCAAGCAGAAGAAUGAACAUUGCAAAAGAGCUCAAAUCAGAAGCUCACGAGUCACCCACCCAAAUUUUGCCAGACAGCCACUCACACACAAGAAAAAAAGGCAGAUAUAUUGGUGUAAGGGCUGUUGCCAACAUGAAAAACAAGGAUCAAAAUUAUGCCAAACUUUGUUCACAUACCAACAAUAUUCAUCGAAUGUAAAACUAAAGCCUAACUUGAUUUAAGCAUAUAAAAGGAGACUCAGAUUCGCAUUUUUCAAGCAGAAGAUUAAACAUCACAAAAAAACUCAAAAUCAGAAGCUCACGAGUCUCCCAACCAAAGUAAACUAAAGUCGACCUUAAUUUAAGCAUAAAAAAGAAGCCUCAGAUUCGCCUUUUCAAGUAGAAGAUUGAACAACACAAAACAGCUCAAAAUUAGAAGCUCACGAGUCACCCACCCAAAGUUCGCUAGACAGCCACUCACACACACAAGAAAGAAAGCAGCAGAUAUAUUCGUCUGAGGGCGGUUGGCAAAAUGAGAAACAAGAACAAAAAAAAUCCCAAGCUUUGUUCGCAAAAAAAAAAUACCAAAAACAUUUAACAAAUGUAAAAACAAAAACCGACCUUGAUUUAAGCAUAACUCACACACACAAGAAAGAAAGCAGCAGAUAUAUUCGUAUGAGGGCGGUUGGCAAAAUGAGAAACAAGAACAAAAAAAAUCCCAAACUUUGUUCGCAAAAAAAAAAUACCAAAAACAUUUAACAAAUGUAAAAACUAAAACCGACCUUGAUUUAAGCAUAUAAAAGGAGGCUCAGAUUCGCAUAUUCCAAGCAGAAGAUUGAUUAUCACAAAAAAGCUCAAAAUUGGAAGCUCACGAGUCACCCAUCCAAAGUUCACCAAACAGUCACUCAAACACACAAGAAAGAAAGCAUAUAUAUUGGUAUAAGGGUUGUUGCCAACAUGAGAAACAAUAAUCAAAUUAUGCCAAACUUUGUUCCCAUACCAACAACAUUCACCGAAUGUAAAACUAAAGCCAACCUUCAUUUAGGCAUAUAAAUGGAGGCUCAGAUUCGACUUUUUCAAGCAGAAGAUUCAACAUCACAAAAAAGAUCAAAGUCAGAAGCUCAUGAGACACCCACCCAAAGUUCGCUAGACAGCCGCUCACAAACACACGAAAGAAAGCAGAUAUAUUGGUAUAAGGGCUUUUGCCAACACGAGAAACAAGGAUCAAAAUUAUGCCAAACUUUGCUCCCAUACCAACAACAUUGCCCGAGUGUAAAAAAAAAAAAAAAAGCCGACCUUGAUUUAAACAUAUAAACGGAGGCUCAGAUUCAUCUUUUUCAAGUAAAAGAUCGACCAUCACAAAAAAAGAACAAAAUCAGAAACUCACGAGUCACCCACCAAAAGUUCACCAAACGGCCACUCACACACACAAGAAAGAAAUCAGAUAUAUUGGUAAAAGGGUUGUAGUCAAUAUGAGAAAGAAGGAUCAAAAUUACGCAAAAUUUUGUUCACAUACGAACAAGAUUCAACGCAUGUAAAACUAAAGCUCACGAGUUCAAAGGAGCUCAAAAUCAAAAACUCAAAAGUCACCCACCCAAUGCACACACAAAAAAGAAAGCAGAUAUAUGGGUAUAAGAGAUGUUGCCAACAUGAGAAACAAGGAUCAAAAUUGUGCCCAACUUUGCUCUCAUACCACAACAUUCACCGAAUGUAAAAGUAAAGCCGACCAAGAUUUAAGCAUAUAAAAGGAGGCUCAGAUUCGCCUUUAUCAAGCAGAAAAUUGAACAUCACAAAAGAACUCAAAAUUAGAAGCUCACAAGUCACCCAACCAAAGUUCACCAUAGCUGACCUUGAUUUAAGCAUAUUGAAACAAUCACAGAUUCACAUUUUUCAAGCAGAAGAUUGAACAUCACAAAAGAGCUCAAAAUCAGAAGCUCACAAGUCACCCACCCAAAGUUCUCCAGAUAGCCACUCACACACACAAGAAAGAAAGCAGGCAUAUUGGUAUAAGGGUUGUCGCCAACAUGAGAAACAAGAAUCAAAAUUACGCCAAACUUUGUUCAAAUACCAACAACAUUCACAGAAUGUAAAACUAAAGUCGACCUUGAUUUAAGAGUAUAAAAGGCUGCCCAGAUUCGCCUUUUUCAAGCAAAAUAUUCAACAUCACAAAAGAGCUCAAAAACAGAAGCCCACAAGCCACCCACCUAGAGUUCAGCAGAUGAACACUCACACACAUAAGAGAGACAUCAGAUAUAUUUGUGUAACGGUUGUUGCCAACAUGAGAACCAAGGAUCAAAAUUAUGCAAAACUUUAUUCACAUACCUACAACGUUGACUGAAUGUAGAACUAAACCCGACCUUGAUAAAGCACAUAAAAUGAGGCUUAGAUUUGCCUAUUUCAAGCAGAAGAUUGAACAUCACAAAAGAGCUAAAAAUCAGAAGCUCACGAGUCAUUCACCCAAAGUUCGCCAGACAGCCACUCACACACACACACAAGAAAUAAAGCAGAUAUAUUCGUUUAAGGGCUGCUGCCAACAUGAGAAACAAGGAUCGAAAUUAUGCAAAACUUUAUUCACAUACCAACAACGUUCAGUGAAUGUAAAACUAAAGCCGAGCUUGAUUUAAGCCUAUAAAAUGAGGCUCAGACUCUCCUUUUUCAAGCAGAAGAUUGAACAUCGGAAAAGAAAUCAAAAUAAGAAGCUCACGAGUCGCCCACCAAAAGUUUGCAAGACAGCCACUCACACACACAAGAAAGAAAGCAUAUAUAUUAGUAUAAGGGCUGUUGCCAACAUGAGAAACAAGGAUCGAAAUUGCGCAAAACCUUAUUCCAAUACCAACAACGUUCAUUGAAUGCAAAACUAAAGCCGACAACAGAUAUAUGGCUACAAGGGUUGUGCCCAAGAUGAGAAACAAUGAUCAAAAUUAUGCAAAGCUUUAUUCACAUACCAACGAUGUUCACCGAAUGUAAAACUAAAGUCGACCAUGAUUCAAGCAUAUAGCAGGAGGCUCUGAUUCGCCUUUAUCAAGCAGAAGAUUGAACAUCAAAAAGAGCUCAAAAUCAGAAGCUUAAGAGUCACCCACACAAAGCAAACUAAAGCCCACCUUGAUUUAAGCAUAUAAAAGCAGGCUCAAAUUCGCUUUUCAAGCAGAAGAUUGAAUAUCACAAAAUAGCUCAAAAUCAAAAGCUCAUGACUUACCCCCCAAAGCAUUCUAAAGUCGACUCGACUUAAGCACAUAAAAGGAAGCUAAGAUUUGCCUUUUCAAACCAGAAGAUUGAAAGUCACAAAAAAGCACAAAAUCAGAAGCUGAAAAAUCACCCACACAAAGCAAAAUAAAGCCCACCUUGAUUUAAGCAUAUAAAAGGAGGCUCAAAUUCGCUUUUCAAGAAGAAGAUUGAAUAUUACAAAAUAGCCCAAAAUCAAAAGCUCACGACUCACCCUCCCAAACCAAUCUAAACCCAACCUAGACUUAAGCACAUAAAAGGAGGUUCAAAUGCCCCUUUUUAAAGCAGAAGAUUGAACAUCACAAAAAAGCUCAGAAUCAGAAGCUCACAGGUCACCCACCCAAAGCAAUCUAAAGUCCACUUAGACUUAAGCACAUAAAAAGAGGCUCAGAUUUGCCUUUUUUAAGCAGAAGAUUGAAAAUCACAAAAAAGCUCAAAAUCAGAAGCUCACAGUUCACCCACCCAAAGCAAUCUAAAGAAGAACCUGAUUGAAGAGUAUAAAAGGAGGCUCAGAUUCGUCUUUUUCAAGCAGAAGAUUGAACAUCAAAAAAGAGCUCAAAAUUAGAAGCCCAAGGGUAACCCACACAAAGCAAACUAAAGCCCACCUUGAUUUAAGCAUAUAAAAGGAGGCCCAAAUUCGUUUUUCAAGCAGAAGAUUGAAUAUCACAAAAUAGCUCAAAAUCAAAAGCUCACGACUCACCCCCCAAAGUAAUUUAAAGCCGACAUAGACUUAAACACAUAAAAGGAGGCUCAGGUUCGCCUUUUUAAAGCAGUAGAUUGAACAUCACAAAAACGCUCAAAAUCAGAAGCUCAAGAGUCACACACACACAAAGCAAACUAAAGCGCACCUUGAUUUAAACAUAUGAAAGGAUGCUCAAAUUUGCUUUUCAAGCAGAAGAUUGAAUAUCACAAAAUAGCUCAAAAUCAGAAGCUCACUACUCACCCCCCAAAGCAAUCUAAAGUCGACUUAGACUUAAGCACAUAAGAGGCUCAGAUUUGACUUUUUAAAGCAGAAGAUUGAACAACACAAAAAAAGCUCAAAAUCAGAAGCUCACAGGUCACCCACUUAAAGCAAUCUAAAGCCGACCCUGAUUUAAGCGUAUAAAAGCAGACUCAGAUUCGCCCUUUUCAUGCAGAAGAUUGAAUAUCACAAAAGAGCUCAAAAUCAGAUGCUUACGGGUCACCGAACCAAAGUAAACUAGAGCCGGCCUUGCUUUAAGCGUGUAAAAGGAGUCUCAGAUUCGGCUUUUUCAAGUAGAAGAUUGAACAUCAAAAAAGAGCUCAAAAUUAGAAGCCCAAGGGUCACCCACACAAAGCAAACUAAAGCCCACCUUGAUUUAAGCAUAUAAAAGNNNNNNNNNNNNNNNNNNNNGCAGAAGAUUGAAUAUCACAAAAUAGCUCAAAAUCAGAAGCUCACGACUCACCCCCCAAAGCAAUUUAAAGCCGACAUAGACUUAAACACAUAAAAGGAGGCUCAGGUUCGCCUUUUUAAAGCAGAAAAUAGAUUGAACAUCACAAAAAAGCUCAUAAUCAGAAGCUCAAGAGUCACACACACAAAGCAAACUAAAGCGCACCUUGAUUUAAACAUAUGAAAGGAUGCUCAAAUUCGCUUUUCAAGCAGAAGAUUGAAUAUCACAAAAUAGCUCAAAAUCAGAAGCUCACUACUCACCCCCCAAAGCAAUCUAAAGUCGACUCAGACUUAAGCACAUAAAAGGAGGCUCAGAUUUGACUUUUUAAAGCAGAAGAUUGAACAUCACAAAAAAAGCUCAAAAUCAGAUGGAAGAUUAAACAUCACAAAAAAAGCUCAAAAUCAGAUGGAAGAUUAAACAUCACAAAAAAAGCUCAAAAUCAGAUGGAAGAUUAAACAUCACAAAAAAAGCUCAAAAUCAGAUGGAAGAUUAAACAUCACAAAAAAAGCUCAAAAUCAGAUGGAAGAUUAAACAUCACAAAAAAAGCUCAAAAUCAGAUGGAAGAUUAAACAUCACAAAAAAAGCUCAAAAUCAGAUGGAAGAUUAAACAUCACAAAAAAAGCUCAAAAUCAGAAGCUCGCGACUCACCCCCCAAAGCAAUUGAAAGCCGACAUAGACUUAAACACAUAAAAGGAGGCUCAGAUUUGACUUUUUAAAGCAGAAGAUUGAAUAUCACAAAAUAGCUCAAAAUCAGAAGUUCGCGACUCACCCCCCAAAGCAAUUGAAAGCCGACAUAGACUUAAACACAUAAAAGGAGGCUCAGGUUCGCCUUUUUAAAGCAGNNNNNNNNNNNNNNNNNNNNNNNNNNNNNNNNNNNNNNNAGAGUCACACACAAAGCAAGCUAAAGCGCACCUUGAUUUAAACAUAUGAAAGGAUGCUCAAAUUCGCUUUUCAAGCAGAAGAUUGAACAUCACAAAAAAGCUCAAAAUCAGAAGCUCACUACUCACCCCCCAAAGCAAUCUAAAGUCGACUUAGACUUAAGCAAAUAAAAGGAGGCUCAUAUUUUACUUUUUAAAGCAGAAGAUUGAACAUCACAAAAAAAGCUCAAAAUCAGAAGCUCACAGGUCACCCACUUAAAGCAAUCUAAAGCCGACCCUGAUUUAAGCGUAUAAAAGCAGACUCAGAUUCGCCCUUUUCAUGCAGAAGAUCGAAUAUCACAAAAAAGCUCAAAAUCAGAUGCUUACGGGUCACCGAACCAAAGUAAACUAGAGCCGGCCUUGCUUUAAGCGUGUAAAAGGAGUCUCAGAUUCGGCUUUUUCAAGCAGAAGAUUGAACAUCACAAAAGAGCUCAAAAUCAGAAGCUCAAGAGUCACCCACACAAAGCAAACUAAAGCCCAUCUUAAUUUAAGCAUAUAAAAGGAGGCUCAAAUUCGCUUUUCGAGCAGAAGAUUGAAUAUCACAAAUACUUCAAAAUGGAAAAAAUACUUCAAAGCAAAAAGAAAAAAAAGCAAAAUUUUGACUUACCUUUUCUGUUAAAUCCCUCUACCCCUCCCUUGCUCUCCUCUUAAAAAUCAAGCAAAGAAAGAAAAAGAAAUCGAAAAAGAAAGAAGAGAAAAACGGAAAAACAAAGAAAAAGAAAGAAAAAAGAAAAUUAGAAAUCGAGCAAACAAAAUACAGACAAAAGAAAAGAAAAUAAUAGAAGAAAAAACGAAAAAGAAAAAGAAAAAGAAAGAAAAAGAAGAGAAACGAAAAAGAAAGAAAUAAGAAAAUUUAAAAAAUUUAAAAAAAAAAAAAAAACAAAAAGAAAACGUGGCAAAAACGAAACAGCUAUGAAAUCCCGCUCCCUCGCCCUUACUCUACCCUGAAAAAUCAAGCGAAGAAAGAAAAAGAAAUCGAAAAAGAAAGACGAGAAAACCAAAAAAACAAAGAAAAAGAAAGAAAUAAGAAAAUAAGAAAUCGAGCAAACAAAAUACAGACAAAAGAAAAAAAAAAUAAUAGAAAGAAGAAAGAAAAACGAAAAAGAAAGAAAAAGAAGAAACGAAACUCACUUGCCUCGCUGAGUAAAGAAG
Molecule: long non-coding RNA, 9922 nt
Filed under: Jatropha curcas
Lineage: Eukaryota; Viridiplantae; Streptophyta; Magnoliopsida; Malpighiales; Euphorbiaceae
Description: long non-coding RNA (JCUR_LNC001067)
Source: RNAcentral